RNAcentral lists this ribosomal RNA (433 nucleotides) under uncultured bacterium. Its description in RNAcentral is "partial 16S ribosomal RNA". It matches the Rfam family "Bacterial small subunit ribosomal RNA", at positions 29 to 507 of the family's 1533-position model. The record is from RNAcentral.
AACGAACGCUGGCGGCAUGCCUAACACAUGCAAGUCGAACGAGACCUUCGGGUCUAGUGGCGCACGGGUGCGUAACGCGUGGGAACCUGCCCUUAGGUUCGGAAUAACUCCCCGAAAGGGGUGCUAAUACCGGAUAAUGUCUUCGGACCAAAGAUUUAUCGCCCUUGGAUGGGCCCGCGUUGGAUUAGCUAGUUGGUAGGGUAAAAGCCUACCAAGGCGACGAUCCAUAGCUGGUCUGAGAGGAUGGUCAGCCACACUGGGACUGGGACACGGCCCAGACUCCUACGGGAGGCAGCAGUGGGGGAUAUAGGAAUGUGGGCGGAAGCCUGAUCCAGCAAUGCCGGGUAAGUGAUGAAGGCCUUAGGGUUGUAAAGCGCUUUUACCCGGGAUGAUAAUGACAGUACCGGAAGAAUAAGCUCCGGCUAACUCCGUG